This 254-nucleotide ribosomal RNA is filed under the name uncultured bacterium. Its description in RNAcentral is "partial 16S ribosomal RNA". It matches the Rfam family "Bacterial small subunit ribosomal RNA", at positions 524 to 776 of the family's 1533-position model. The record is from RNAcentral.
UACGAAGGGGGGCUAGCGUUGCUCGGAAUUACUGGGCGUAAAGGGCGCGUAGGCGGAUAUCUAAGUUGGGGGUGAAAUCCCGGGGCUCAACCUCGGAAUUGCCUUCAAAACUGGAUAUCUUGAGUUCGGGAGAGGUGAGUGGAACUCCGAGUGUAGAGGUGAAAUUCGUAGAUAUUCGGAAGAACACCGGUGGCGAAGGCGGCCAACUGGACCAUUACUGACGCUGAGGCGCGAAAGCGUGGGGAGCAAACAGG